AACGAACGCUGGCGGCAUGCCUAAUACAUGCAAGUCGAACGAGAUCUUCGGAUCUAGUGGCGCACGGGUGCGUAACGCGUGGGAAUCUGCCCUUGGGUUCGGAAUAACAGCGGGAAACUGCUGCUAAUACCGGAAGAUGACGUAAGUCCAAGGAUUUAUCGCCCAGGGAUGAGCCCGCGUAGGAUUAGGUAGUUGGUGGGGUAAAGGCCUACCAAGCCUACGAUCCUUAGCUGGUCUGAGAGGAUGAUCAGCCACACUGGGACUGAGACACGGCCCAGACUCCUACGGGAGGCAGCAGUAGGGAAUAUUGGACAAUGGGGGCAACCCUGAUCCAGCAAUGCCGCGUGAGUGAUGAAGGCCUUAGGGUUGUAAAGCUCUUUUACCCGGGAUGAUAAUGACAGUACCGGGAGAAUAAGCCCCGGCUAACUCCGUGCCAGCCGCCGCAGUAA
This 449-nucleotide ribosomal RNA is filed under the name uncultured bacterium. RNAcentral's name for it is "partial 16S ribosomal RNA". It matches the Rfam family "Bacterial small subunit ribosomal RNA", at positions 29 to 523 of the family's 1533-position model. The record is from RNAcentral.